UCAACUCGGGCUUGCAGUGGGUACGGGCAGACUAGAGUGCGGUAGGGGAGAUUGGAAUUCCUGGUGUAGCGGUGGAAUGCGCAGAUAUCAGGAGGAACACCGAUGGCGAAGGCAGAUCUCUGGGCCGUAACUGACGCUGAGGAGCGAAAGGGUGGGGAGCAAACAGGCUUAGAUACCCUGGUAGUCCACCCCGUAAACGUUGGGAACUAGUUGUGGGGUCCUUUCCACGGAUUCCGUGACGCAGCUAACGCAUUAAGUUCCCCGCCUGGGGAGUACGGCCGCAAGGCUAAAACUCAAAGGAAUUGACGGGGACCCGCACAAGCGGCGGAGCAUGCGGAUUAAUUCGAUGCAACGCGAAGAACCUUACCAAGGCUUGACAUACACGAGAACGGGCCAGAAAUGGUCAACUCUUUGGACACUCGUGAACAGGUGGUGCAUGGUUGUCGUCAGCUCGUGUCGUGAGAUGUUGGGUUAAGUCCCGCAACGAGCGCAACCCUCGUUCUAUGUUGCCAGCACGUAAUGGUGGGAACUCAUGGGAUACUGCCGGGGUCAACUCGGAGGAAGGUGGGGAUGACGUCAAAUCAUCAUGCCCCUUAUGUCUUGGGCUUCACGCAUGCUACAAUGGCCGGUACAAUGGGCUGCAAUACCGUGAGGUGGAGCGAAUCCCAAAAAGCCGGUCCCAGUUCGGAUUGAGGUCUGCAACUCGACCUCAUGAAGUCGGAGUCGCUAGUAAUCGCAGAUCAGCAACGCUGCGGUGAAUACGUUCCCGGGUCUUGUACACACCGCCCGUCAAGUCAUGAAAGUCGGUAACACCUGAAGCCGGUGGCCUAACCCCUUG
Molecule: ribosomal RNA, 838 nt
Filed under: Microbacterium esteraromaticum
Lineage: Bacteria; Bacillati; Actinomycetota; Actinomycetes; Micrococcales; Microbacteriaceae
Description: bacterial SSU rRNA
Rfam family: Bacterial small subunit ribosomal RNA
Source: RNAcentral